This 535-nucleotide ribosomal RNA is filed under the name Colletotrichum gloeosporioides. Its description in RNAcentral is "eukaryotic LSU rRNA". The stretch from base 174 to 327 matches the Rfam family "5.8S ribosomal RNA". Lineage: Eukaryota; Fungi; Ascomycota; Sordariomycetes; Glomerellales; Glomerellaceae. The record is from RNAcentral.
GGCUCUGACGUGCGCACUACACCCUUUGUGACAUACCUAUAACUGUUGCUUCGGCGGGUAGGGUCUCCGUGACCCUCCCGGCCUCCCGCCCCCGGGCGGGUCGGCGCCCGCCGGAGGAUAACCAAACUCUGAUUUAACGACGUUUCUUCUGAGUGGUACAAGCAAAUAAUCAAAACUUUUAACAACGGAUCUCUUGGUUCUGGCAUCGAUGAAGAACGCAGCGAAAUGCGAUAAGUAAUGUGAAUUGCAGAAUUCAGUGAAUCAUCGAAUCUUUGAACGCACAUUGCGCCCGCCAGCAUUCUGGCGGGCAUGCCUGUUCGAGCGUCAUUUCAACCCUCAAGCUCUGCUUGGUGUUGGGGCCCUACGGCUGACGUAGGCCCUCAAAGGUAGUGGCGGACCCUCCCGGAGCCUCCUUUGCGUAGUAACUUUACGUCUCGCACUGGGAUCCGGAGGGACUCUUGCCGUAAAACCCCCAAUUUUCCAAAGGUUGACCUCGGAUCAGGUAGGAAUACCCGCUGAACUUAAGCAUAUCAAA